Molecule: non-coding RNA, 54 nt
Filed under: Rouxiella chamberiensis
Lineage: Bacteria; Pseudomonadati; Pseudomonadota; Gammaproteobacteria; Enterobacterales; Yersiniaceae
Description: L31-Gammaproteobacteria ribosomal protein leader
Rfam family: L31-Gammaproteobacteria ribosomal protein leader
Source: RNAcentral
CGUGUGGUGUCCGACGGAAACACGGUUGGAUAGCGACACGGCCUAAACAGAGGU